Molecule: ribosomal RNA, 253 nt
Filed under: uncultured bacterium
Lineage: Bacteria
Description: partial 16S ribosomal RNA
Rfam family: Bacterial small subunit ribosomal RNA
Source: RNAcentral
GACGUAGGGCGCGAGCGUUGUCCGGAUUUAUUGGGCGUAAAGAGCUCGUAGGCGGCUUGUUGCGUCGACUGUGAAAACCCGCGGCUUAACUGCGGGCUUGCAGUUGAUACGGGCAGGCUAGAGUUCGGUAGGGGAGACUGGAAUUCCUGGUGUAGCGGUGAAAUGCGCAGAUAUCAGGGGGAACACCGGUGGCGAAGGCGGGUCCCUGGGCCGAUACUGACGCUGAGGAGCGAAAGCGUGGGGAGCGAACAGG